UAUACAAUACAAGAACCAGAUUGUAAAGGAUCAAAGGUAUUUGUAUACUAAAGAAUAGGGGAUUACUCAUGUAAGAUUUCCAUUGGCAAAGAUGAUGACAGCAUGCUGCAAAGGCAACACCUCUCAGGCUGCAAUUGUCUCCUGGUCCAUUAUGUUGCUUAGUGUGGCAGCACCUUAAGGACCACAUAAAAGUUUCUCAAUUGCAAGGGAAGAAACACCCCCUAAAGUCUACACAUUAUUCAAGUCCAAAUCAUCAACUGCAAUAGUUAAGUUAGACAUUAGAUGCGCAAGGGGGAUGUAAAUUGACAGUAUUCAAUAAAUACAUCUAUACAUGCAAUGUUAAGUAUUGUCUGCUUAUCAUGUUAAAUGUGUUAGAAAACCAAAUGAGCUCCCAUUGAAGAUAGUCUUCAUUAGUUUAACAGUGAUUAUGUAUGAAACUCAAGGCCCCUGAGCACUGGGCCCUCUAGCACUAUUACAACACAAUUGUUUAAUGAACUUUCAUCAUGCAAGAGCAAUUUGAGGGUGGACCAAUGCAACCCAUGGGAAAAGCAUUCUGCCAUUACCGACUUGGUUAUAGUAUAAAAACUCGACAAUCCUCUUAAGUUGAUGGUGAAGCAUUUCAACAGAUUGCUAUGAAAGGAAGGGUCCAUAGCUAAUGGAUUAUGGAUGAUUGCAGUACUUCAUGAACCCACCUCUUGAAAGGGAGCCAUGCCUCAGCAGUUGGAGCUCACUGCAAAUAAAUUCUUUCACCUUUGUAUAUGAUAUUCCAUCAUUUCACAGAGACAAUUAGGGACAUGCUGGUGUAGGAGCCAGCUAAAUCAGGGUUCUUUUUGGCAGAACAUCUUUCUAUGAGCAGCUUUGGCCAAGUGAUCUUCCCCUGCCAUUGCCAGCGAGUGUCCUAUUUAGUACCCUUUCUUGGCUAUUUUCAAGGGAGAGAAAAGGCAAAAGGAUAAAUGAAUGAAGAAUUAUUUAGAGAUGUACUAGUUGGAGAGUACUACAUGCACUGGUCCAGUGAAAGCAACCGCCAAAAUAGGAAGGAUAAACAAAAUUACAUACGCCGCACUUGUG
Non-coding RNA from Amborella trichopoda, 1068 nucleotides. The record is from RefSeq and is a predicted model, not a curated record. NCBI's taxonomy places the organism in Eukaryota, Viridiplantae, Streptophyta, Magnoliopsida, Amborellales, Amborellaceae.